AUACGGAGGAUCCGAGCGUUAUCCGGAUUUAUUGGGUUUAAAGGGUGCGCAGGCGGCCAUUUAAGUCAGCGGUUAAAUCGUGGGGCUCAACCCCAUUCUGCCGUUGAUACUGGGUGGCUUGAUUGCGGUCGAGGUUGGCGGAAUUCGUUGUGUAGCGGUGAAAUGCAUAGAUAUGACGAAGAACACCGAUUGCGUAGGCAGCUGACCAGAUCGCAAAUGACGCUCAUGCACGAAAGUGCGGGGAUCGAACAGGAUUAGAUACCCUGGUAGUCCGCACAGUAAACGAUGAAUACUUGUUUUCGGCGAUAUAAUGUCGGAGGCAAAGCGAAAGCGAUAAGUAUUCCACCUGUGGAGUACGCCGGCAACGGUGAAACUCAAAUGAAUUGACGGGG
This 392-nucleotide ribosomal RNA is filed under the name uncultured bacterium. RNAcentral describes it as "partial 16S ribosomal RNA". It matches the Rfam family "Bacterial small subunit ribosomal RNA", at positions 523 to 918 of the family's 1533-position model. The record is from RNAcentral.